CCAGGACGCGUCUGUGCGUACAGCGGUCCGGAGGUGGUUAAAGUGGCGGGCACUGUGGAUAUCACUGUUAAAGAGGCGGCCAUUAUAAAGGUCAAUAUUAAAGAGGUGGUCAAUGUAAAAGGGGCAGGCACUGUGGAGGUCACUGUUAAAGGGGAGGACACUGUGGAGGUCACUAUUAAAGGGGCAGGCACUGGGCAGGUCACUGUUAAAGAUGCAGUCACUGUUAAAGGGGCGGGCACUGUGAAGG
Molecule: long non-coding RNA, 247 nt
Organism: Bufo bufo (common toad)
Lineage: Eukaryota; Metazoa; Chordata; Amphibia; Anura; Bufonidae
Exons: 3
Source: RefSeq, a predicted model, not a curated record